RNAcentral lists this long non-coding RNA (601 nucleotides) under Homo sapiens (human). RNAcentral describes it as "non-protein coding lnc-NXPH1-2:5". The record is from RNAcentral. Lineage: Eukaryota; Metazoa; Chordata; Mammalia; Primates; Hominidae.
GACCUGGCGGACAGGUGGGAGCCACAGCGUACACCCCAGGGUUCCCUCUGUGCUGUGCGUAGUGCCUACUGCUUGCUUCCAGGUUAAAUUUCUGUAGCUUUAGAGGACAGGAGACUUCAUGACUUCACUGCCAAGAAAAGUUACAGAGGCCUGCUGUACCUGGAAAUCAAGUUUGAGCUUCGAGAAUAAAGGUCAUGUUUUAAAAACAGCUGUGUAUGUAUAGGAAAGAACCAAACCAUUGUUUCUAGAGACCCUGCAGUAUACAGAUCACAGGAAGAAAAAGUGUUGGCAUAGCUGCUUCCUAAUAUUAUCUAUGUGGAAAUGAAACCUCAAUGUAGUAUGACUUCAUCCCUAGUUAUGUUAUACAUUUAUAAAUAAGUUCAUUCAGUCGUCGCUGAAACAAUUUAAAAGGGCCGAAUGAUAGUUAUUGAGUAAUGAUGCUGACGAAUCAGAAAUCCUGCGCUAACAUGGAUGGAGUGCUAGCUCUAUGUCCGGCACAUGCUGUAUGCUUUAUAUUUAAUCCUUACAGCAACCCAAUACUGUAGAUAAAAUCAUUAUCCCGAUUUCACAGAUGAAGACACUGCCCAGAGUGCCAUAAAGA